Molecule: ribosomal RNA, 364 nt
Filed under: uncultured eukaryote
Lineage: Eukaryota
Description: partial 18S ribosomal RNA
Rfam family: Eukaryotic small subunit ribosomal RNA
Source: RNAcentral
CAAUAGCGUAUAUUAAAGUUGUUGCAGUUAAAAAGCUCGUAGUUGGAUUUUUGUCAUUUGCUUACACUCUGGCUUAAUUGACAGUGGGUUUGGCAUUGACAUUUCCCUAUUUUUGCGGCUCGUUCGCUUCUCUAGGGCUUUUACUUUGAGUAAAUUAGAGUGUUUCAAGCAAGCAAUUGCUAUGAAUACUGCAGCAUGGAAUAAUAAUAUAGGACGUUGGUUCUAUGUUGUUGGUUCUGAGAGCCGAUGUAAUGAUUAAUAGGAACAGUUGGGGGCAUUCGUAUUCAACAGCUAGAGGUGAAAUUCUUAGAUUUGUUGAAGACGAACUACAGCGAAAGCAUUUGCCAAGGAUGUUUUCAUUAAU